GCAGUGAGGAAUCUUGCACAAUGGGCGAAAGCCUGAUGCAGCGACGCCGCGUGGAGGAUGACGGUCUUCGGAUUGUAAACUCCUGUUAAACGGGAAGAAAGACUUGUUUCUAAUACAGACAAGUUAUGACGGUACCGUUAGAGAAAGCACCGGCUAACUCCGUGCCAGCAGCCGCGGUAAUACGAGGGGUGCAAGCGUUAUUCGGAUUGAUUGGGUGUAAAGGGUGUGCAGACGGCUUACUAAGUCACUUGUUAAAUUCCUCGGCCUAACGAGGAUCUGCAGGUGAUACUGGAAAGCUAGAGGAUGGAAGAGAGAAGUGGAAUUCUCGGAGUAGCGGUAAAAUUCGUAGAUCUUGAGAGGAACACCAACGGCGAAGGCAGCACCUUGGUCCACUCCUGACGUUCAUACACGAAAGCGUGGGGAGCAAACAGGAUUAGAUACCCCGGUAGUCC
Molecule: ribosomal RNA, 452 nt
Filed under: uncultured bacterium
Lineage: Bacteria
Description: bacterial SSU rRNA
Rfam family: Bacterial small subunit ribosomal RNA
Source: RNAcentral